Molecule: long non-coding RNA, 375 nt
Organism: Gallus gallus (chicken)
Lineage: Eukaryota; Metazoa; Chordata; Aves; Galliformes; Phasianidae
Source: Ensembl
AAAAUGUGUGUAGCAAACGUACCAACAUACUGUAGCAGCUGAAUUUGGGACGCUUGCAUUUCUUUUACACGUUUUUAGGAUAUGUCUAAAUGACACGAUUUCCUGAUUGCAAUGUAAAAACCAAUUAUUUCCAAAGUCCAGCAUAUUGGGACAUGCCACAUGAAGCUCCACUCUGCUGUCACGAAACUGCCUCUGAAAACACUUUUGCUGCUUUGCUGCACUGUGGUUCUCAAAGGAGCUGGAUGCACCUUGCAAAAGUUUGGUGAGCUCAAGUACUUCACCUGAGCUGCAGGAAAUGUCAGUGGCAAUCUGGAGAUUUUGUCAGUGCUGGCAAUGUUCACCAGAGUUUGAAAGAAGAUUUUACAUAUCUGCCAG